CUACGGGUGGCUCCAGUGAGGAAUAUUGCACAAUGGGGGGAACCCUGAUGCAGCAACGCCGCGUGGAGGAUGACGCAUUUCGGUGUGUAAACUCCUUUUAUAUGUCAAGAAAAUGACGGUAGCAUAUGAAUAAGCACCGGCUAACUCCGUGCCAGCAGCCGCGGUAAUAGGGAGGGUGCAAGCGUUACUCGGAAUCACUGGGCGUAAAGGACGCGUAGGCGGGUUGGAAAGUCAGGUGUGAAAUCCUACAGCUUAACUGUAGAACUGCACUUGAAACUUCUAAUCUAGAGUAUGGGAGGGGGAGAUGGAAUUAGUGGUGUAGGGGUAAAAUCCGUAGAUAUCACUAGGAAUACCUAAAGCGAAGGCGAUCUCCUGGAACAUUACUGACGCUAAGGCGUGAAAGCGUGGGGAGCAGACAGGAUUAGAUACCCUAGUAGUC
RNAcentral lists this ribosomal RNA (439 nucleotides) under uncultured bacterium. Its description in RNAcentral is "partial 16S ribosomal RNA". It matches the Rfam family "Bacterial small subunit ribosomal RNA", at positions 339 to 795 of the family's 1533-position model. The record is from RNAcentral.